CAGGAGGUAGUUUAAGAAAAAAUGUUAGUUUUGGAGACUAAUGAUGAGGAAUUUACCUUUCUCUUGA
This 67-nucleotide transfer RNA is filed under the name Gasterophilus nigricornis. Its description in RNAcentral is "tRNA-Pro". It matches the Rfam family "tRNA". From Rfam's summary of the family: Transfer RNA (tRNA) molecules are approximately 80 nucleotides in length. Lineage: Eukaryota; Metazoa; Arthropoda; Insecta; Diptera; Oestridae. The record is from RNAcentral.